UACGAAGGGGGCUAGCGUUGUUCGGAAUUACUGGGCGUAAAGGGCGCGUAGGCGGUACUUCAAGUCAGGCGUGAAAGCCCCGGGCUCAACCUGGGAACCACGCUUGAGACUGGAGAACUAGAGUUCGGGAGAGGAUGGUGGAAUUCCCAGUGUAGAGGUGAAAUUCGUAGAUAUUGGGAAGAACACCGAUGGCGAAGGCAGCCAUCUGGACCGACACUGACGCUGAGGCGCGAAAGCGUGGGGAGCAAACAGG
Molecule: ribosomal RNA, 253 nt
Filed under: uncultured bacterium
Lineage: Bacteria
Description: partial 16S ribosomal RNA
Rfam family: Bacterial small subunit ribosomal RNA
Source: RNAcentral